GUUAGCUCAGUUGGAAGAGCGCUCGGCUUUUAACCGUGUGGUCGUGGGUUCAAUCCCCACA
Molecule: transfer RNA, 61 nt
Filed under: Pseudo-nitzschia delicatissima
Lineage: Eukaryota; Bacillariophyta; Bacillariophyceae; Bacillariales; Bacillariaceae
Rfam family: tRNA
About the family: Transfer RNA (tRNA) molecules are approximately 80 nucleotides in length. Their secondary structure includes four short double-helical elements and three loops (D, anti-codon, and T loops). Further hydrogen bonds mediate the characteristic L-shaped molecular structure. tRNAs have two regions of fundamental functional importance: the anti-codon, which is responsible for specific mRNA codon recognition, and the 3' end, to which the tRNAs corresponding amino acid is attached (by aminoacyl-tRNA synthetases). tRNAs cope with the degeneracy of the genetic code in two manners: having more than one tRNA (with a specific anti-codon) for a particular amino acid; and 'wobble' base-pairing, i.e. permitting non-standard base-pairing at the 3rd anti-codon position.
Source: RNAcentral